RNAcentral lists this ribosomal RNA (433 nucleotides) under uncultured bacterium. RNAcentral describes it as "partial 16S ribosomal RNA". It matches the Rfam family "Bacterial small subunit ribosomal RNA", at positions 29 to 507 of the family's 1533-position model. The record is from RNAcentral.
AACGAACGCUGGCGGCAGGCUUAACACAUGCAAGUCGAGCGCAUCCUUCGGGGUGAGCGGCGGACGGGUGAGUAACGCGUGGGAACGUGCCCUCUUCUACGGAAUAGCCUCGGGAAACUGAGAGUAAUGCCGUAUACGCCCGCAAGGGGAAAGAUUUAUCGGAGGAGGAUCGGCCCGCGUUGGAUUAGGUAGUUGGUGGGGUAACGGCCUACCAAGCCGACGAUCCAUAGCUGGUUUGAGAGGAUGAUCAGCCACACUGGGACUGAGACACGGCCCAGACUCCUACGGGAGGCAGCAGUGGGGAAUCUUGGACAAUGGGGGCAACACUGAUCCAGCCAUGCCGCGUGAUCGAUGAAGGCCUUAGGGUUGUAAAGAUCUUUCAGCUGGGAAGAUAAUGACGGUACCAGCAGAAGAAGCCCCGGCUAACUCCGUG